GGAUAUGAUUAAGAGAAUUCAACAAAAUUGCCUAUCUUAAGGGAGCAUUCCCAUACAUUCAACUCUACACAAUUUCCAUUUCUUUGAUCCCCGUCUUUUUCCUUUUCUCAUAUUUAUCCACACAACCAUGAGCCUUUUCUUUGUUUUUUCUAUCUUUUCUUUUUCUUUGCUUUAUGGUUUCAAGGGUGAUUUCUUUUUCUUGUUUCUUUUUAUAUUUUCACCCUUUCAUAAAAACUCACUUUUCCAAGUUUCUAAUCAACUCUUUUUUUUUAUUACUCUCCCCAACUUU
This 289-nucleotide long non-coding RNA is filed under the name Lathyrus oleraceus (garden pea). RNAcentral's name for it is "Pisum sativum (pea) long non-coding RNA (PSAT_LNC022167)". The record is from RNAcentral. Lineage: Eukaryota; Viridiplantae; Streptophyta; Magnoliopsida; Fabales; Fabaceae.